Molecule: ribosomal RNA, 433 nt
Filed under: uncultured bacterium
Lineage: Bacteria
Description: partial 16S ribosomal RNA
Rfam family: Bacterial small subunit ribosomal RNA
Source: RNAcentral
AACGAACGCUGGCGGCAUGCCUAACACAUGCAAGUCGAGCGGACCCUUCGGGGUUAGCGGCGGACGGGGGAGUAACGCGUCGGGAUAUGCCCUUCUCUACGGAAUACUUCUGGGAAACUGGUGGUAAUGCCGUAUACGCGCUUUGGGGGGAAGAUUUAUCGGGGUAGUAUGAGCCCGAGUUGGAUUAGGUAGUUGGUUGGGUAAUGGAAUGCCAAGCCGACGAUUCAUAGCUGGGUUGAGAGGAUGAUCAGCCACACUGGGACGGAGACACGGCCCAGAAUCCUACGGGAGGCAGCAGUGGGGAAUGGUAGAACACGGCGGCAACCCUGAUGUAGCCCGGCUGGGUGAGUGAUGAAGGUAGUAGGGUAGUAAAGCGUUUUCAGCUGGGCAGAUAAUGACGGUACCAGAAGAAGAAGCCCCGGCUAACUACGUG